UGCGGCUCCCCGCGUGGCGCCAUCCAGGCCAACUCCCCCAGGUCGGAGACGAAGCAAGGGCAACCGGGCUCUGGCGGGUGCGCGGGGAGUCCUUCGC
Non-coding RNA from Agrococcus carbonis, 97 nucleotides. NCBI's taxonomy places the organism in Bacteria, Bacillati, Actinomycetota, Actinomycetes, Micrococcales, Microbacteriaceae. The record is from Rfam.